RNAcentral lists this ribosomal RNA (484 nucleotides) under uncultured bacterium. RNAcentral's name for it is "partial 16S ribosomal RNA". It matches the Rfam family "Bacterial small subunit ribosomal RNA", at positions 29 to 507 of the family's 1533-position model. The record is from RNAcentral.
AUUGAACGCUGGCGGCAUGCUUUACACAUGCAAGUCGAACGGCAGCGCGGGCUUCGGCCUGGCAGCGAGUGGCGAACGGGUGAGUAAUGCAUCGGAACGUGCCCAGUAGUGGGGGAUAACGUGGGGAAAGGCGGAUUAAUACCGCAUACGACCUGAGGGUGAAAGCGGGGGACCGACAGGCCUCGCGCUAUUAGAGGAGCCGAUGUCGGAUUAGCUAGUUGGUGGGGUAAAGGCUUACCAAGGCGACGAUCCGUAGCUGGUCUGAGAGGACGACCAGCCACACUGGAACUGAGACACGGCCCAGACUCCUACGGGAGGCAGCAGUGGGGAAUUUUGGACAAUGGGGGCAACCCUGAUCCAGCCAUGCCGCGUGUGGGAAGAAGGCCUUCGGGUUGUAAAGCGCUUUUGUUCGGGAAGAAAUCCUGUGGGCUAAUACCCCGCGGGGAUGACGGUACCGGAAGAAUAAGCACCGGCUAACUUCGUG